UGGUAAUGUUAGCAAGCAGAAGUUUCAGUGGAAUGUUGGCGGUAGAAACCAAAUUGAACUGGGCUAAGGAGUGAAAGAAAAACAACUGCAACUACUGAGAGACCAAGGACUCACUUCCAGAACAGAAACAUGAGGACAAGAAGAUUUUACUUAUGGUAACUUGGGCAAUUGAAGAAUAGUGAGAUUGCCCUGAAGGAGGAAAAGUGGGAUGAACAUUUCUGAAUGAAGUCUUCUGAAGAAAGGUGUGUCAUGAUCAGAGGGUGAUCGAUGAUGAAAACUCUCUCAGGUUUCCUGGCCUCCUCAUUCUGCCUACUUGUUUGUUCAGUAUCUAUUCCAUGAUGGAUGCUUUCUGACUUCAUUUUCAAGAUUUUCCUCAACAUCAAAAGAAGAUUACAGAUGACAUCUCUAAGUGUUACAUUUACCUUUCAAAAAGACAGAAGGAGAAAGAGUAAACAAGCAAAAUGCCGAAUAUGUUACCUUUGAAGACAACUGGAAGCAGUGUCUUUUAUCCGGUUAGAUGUAGCAUCACAUUAGAAGAAAAAGUGAGGAAAAUCUUGACGAUUUUUUCCUAGAGAAAAAGAGAUGUAAAGGAAGGUAUGGUGAAUUCAUAAUAAAGAUAUGAUUUAUUUAGCUCUUUUAUUAUUAUGGGGUUUUUUUUAAGGAUUGCCUACAAAGAAUUCAAGUAACCAGAGUUCCAAUGGCAAAAUUUAUAUGAGGUAUAUGAAAUCCUGUAGAAGAAGAAAUGUUGCCAAAGUUUUAACCUAAGGCUAUGGGCAUAAAGUCCAGAACAAGAGGGUGGGUUAGUAUUCUUCUAUUUAGCGAGAAUAACAAAAUAAGAAGAAGUUGAUGCGUGUAAAUAGUUGGCAGACUUUUGGAGAGCUAGCAGAGAAAAAAAAUCUGAUUUAGUAGAGUCCCUUGUCACUAAACUUCAUGGAAGUAGGGAGCAAAAUAAACCCAGAAUAAAUAAACAAGUAAAUAUUACAGCCAAGACUGAAACAAAGAAAGACAUUUCUGUUCACUGGAAACGGAUAGUAAGCCAUCAGAGGCUGCCAAGGCUGUCUCCUUCCCAGGAGGUUUGGAAGCAGCUAUACUCCCGGAAGCAAGGUAAGAGGCUUGUACUAAAAGCUUGGAACCUCUAGAUGCUCCCAAUCCUCAUGGAUUAGAAAAACUCUGUUUUGAGGCCAGUUACUUAGAGACUUUGUCAUUCGUCUGAUGCUUAGGUGGGGAAAAAAGCCAUCCAUCAGUAAAAGGAUCCUAGACUUACACCGAGCAUGAGUAUGGCCAAGGCCGAAUACGUGACUUGCUGGACUCAGUACAAAAUAAAAGCACAGGCUUUCUCGCUUAAAAACGAAGGAAGAAAAGCACUAUCAAAGUUAAUAAAAUAUAAAACUUUAACUUUAUUUCAUCUUGUCUAUCUUGACUUGUCAUGGUGUAUUUUAUUUGCUAUUUAAUGUCUUUCUAGGUUAAAAAAAAUACUAAAACCUUAAAUUGCUAACAGAAAUUUUACACUUCAUAUUUAUAGGGCGCAUUAACAAUUUUACUUGCAAAUAUUAGUGUUUACUUAGUAUGAGGAAUCACAGAAUCAAAUAAUUCGUAUUUCAUAACUCAUAUAUGCAUGUGUAUUUUAUUCCACCAGAACGUGCAAGCAUUGCACAAAGCUCAGCUGUUUCUCCUUUACCUCCUGAUGCACAUACCUUCUACCAAGACAUCUAUCCAAGGAUAUUGACAACUAUAAGCACUGAAAGGAAAAGGAACUAUGACAUGCCCUAUAUUUUCUUUUCCUUCUAUGUUGUCAUUUUCAGUGUAAGUGGUUGGCUUAAACAGGAAAUGAACACAGUAAGGAAGGAUAUGAUAAAGUAACUUGGUCAUUAGUGUUUCUUAGAAUUCCAUUGUGUUUUUUCUAUUUGAUUUAAGUUCUGGUUUGAACAGAAUGGAUGGCCUCUUUGGGCUGUCAGUGCUUGUGCUUAAUCAGAUGUUGAUGUAACAUGCCUCCCUUGCCUUGAUUUUUGUUGAACUCCUACUCAUUGUGAGUGCACAGGAAUUCUGUGCUCUGGGGGCAUCAUCAGCACUAUCUGUGAACAGGACAUUAAGGAAAGAUGGAUACCUAUUUUGCAUGUGUCUCCUCUGCACCAUUGUCCCAUUAGACUUCCCUUACAAGACGCAACUUCAAAGACAAAGAUUAUCAAGGGUUUCAAGCAGGCAACAACAAAAUAUUAAGCUAAGCACAGGGCCCUUCUUGAGUAUGGAGGCUUGUGAGACUAAAUAGAUCUCAUAACAAUGCAUUACAAAUUUUAGUACUGACAUGAUUAUAAAAAAUAAAGGUGAACAUGGGCACCGAAAUUAAGAAACAGUACUCACGUUGAGACUAUUCACAAGUUUCUAUUAAUAGCCUUUUUUUAAAUUAUAGAAAUAUAAGAGAAAAUCAUAAAGAAGAAAAUUUUAAACCCAAAGCAUCCAGUGUGGUAGGCAGAACUCUAGGAUGAUCCCCAUGACUCUUGUCUGGAUACAAUAUCUUCCCCUUUGAGUGGGGGGUGAAACUUGUGAAUAUGAUGGGGAUGUCACUCCCAGGACUACACGGCAUUAUGUGGCAAAAGGGAGAUUAUCCUGGGUGGGCCUGACUUAAUCAGGUGAGUCCUUUAAAAGUAGAGAGUUUUCACUGGCUGGUUGAGGAAGAGAAAGUCUGAAGGUCAUGCUCCAGCUGACCUGGAUGAAAGCAAACACCCAGGCUGUAAAUGGCCUGUUGGGGUCAUGUGGCAAGGAACUGCGGGCAGCCUUCUGGAGCUGGCAGGAAAACAAGGACUUCAGUCAUACGACCACAAGGAAAUGAAUUCUGCCAACAACCUGUGAGCUUGGAAAAGGACUCUGAGUCCUGAUGAAAACCGCAACUCUGGCUGACACCUGGCUUUCGGUCUGGAGCCUGAGCAGAGAAUCCAUCGAAGCUAUGCCUGAACUUCUGACCUACAGAAACUGUGAAAUAAUAAAUGUGUGUUGCUUUAAGCCGCUAAAUUUGUGGCAAUUUGUUAUGCAGUAAUAGAAAACUACUAUAUCCAGGAAUAACAUUUUGGCUUAUAUCUUUAUAGUCAUGUCUUUUAUAGCUUUCUCCCUACGUACAUAUGUACUUUUUUGUGUGUAACGGAAUUAUAAUAUUCUUUAAUCCUUUUUUAUUUACUGUACUGGAGAACAUUUUUUACCCCAUUAAACAAUUUUACCACACCUUUAAAAUAUAAAAAAUAGACAGAUCUCAUUCUCAUGAGGCUGGCUCUGAGUACAGAAUCAAAAUAUAUACUACCUGCAGGAUAUCAGAAAUAACAACAAACGAAUAAACCUAAAACGUAUCGCAGAAUUAUUGAAAUCACUGGAGAAAGCAAACUUGAAACUUCUAGAGUGAGUGAGUAUUAAUGGAAAAUAACCAAAUUCCUUUAUUUUUAGUAGACACAAGCAUUGUUUAAACAGCAAUAAUCAGAAAAGAUCCAAAACCAAUUGGGACAGUGUAUAACGAGCUUCUAUUUGUAAAAGAAACUAUGAUAUGGAAGUAGAACAUAAUGUAGAAAUGCGUAACUCAUAAGUACAUCCCGCUGAAUGCUUACAAAGUGAGCACACUUGGGUACCAAACAGGUCUGUAUAGAAACCACUAGAGCAACCUAGAAGCUCUUUCAUGCCCAUCUACACAUUAUUGUACCCUCUGUCCAAAAGGUAACCCUUAUCAUGAUUUCUAAAACCAUAGAAUUUGCUUUUUGAUAUUUGUAUUAAAGGC
This 3754-nucleotide long non-coding RNA is filed under the name Equus caballus (horse). RNAcentral's name for it is "lncRNA (ENSECAG00000058899.1)". Lineage: Eukaryota; Metazoa; Chordata; Mammalia; Perissodactyla; Equidae. The record is from RNAcentral.